Molecule: ribosomal RNA, 2242 nt
Filed under: Salmonella enterica
Lineage: Bacteria; Pseudomonadati; Pseudomonadota; Gammaproteobacteria; Enterobacterales; Enterobacteriaceae
Description: partial 23S ribosomal RNA
Rfam family: Bacterial large subunit ribosomal RNA
Source: RNAcentral
AGACCCGAAACCCGGUGAUCUAGCCAUGGGCAGGUUGAAGGUUGGGUAACACUAACUGGAGGACCGAACCGACUAAUGUUGAAAAAUUAGCGGAUGACCUGUGGCUGGGGGUGAAAGGCCAAUCAAACCGGGAGAUAGCUGGUUCUCCCCGAAAGCUAUUUAGGUAGCGCCUCGUGAAUUCAUCUCCGGGGGUAGAGCACUGUUUCGGCUAGGGGGUCAUCCCGACUUACCAACCCGAUGCAAACUGCGAAUACCGGAGAAUGUUAUCACGGGAGACACACGGCGGGUGCUAACGUCCGUCGUGAAGAGGGAAACAACCCAGACCGCCAGCUAAGGUCCCAAAGUCAUGGUUAAGUGGGAAACGAUGUGGGAAGGCCCAGACAGCCAGGAUGUUGGCUUAGAAGCAGCCAUCAUUUAAAGAAAGCGUAAUAGCUCACUGGUCGAGUCGGCCUGCGCGGAAGAUGUAACGGGGCUAAACCAUGCACCGAAGCUGCGGCAGCGACACUCAGGUGUUGUUGGGUAGGGGAGCGUUCUGUAAGCCUGCGAAGGUGGCCUGUGAGGGUUGCUGGAGGUAUCAGAAGUGCGAAUGCUGACAUAAGUAACGAUAAAGCGGGUGAAAAGCCCGCUCGCCGGAAGACCAAGGGUUCCUGUCCAACGUUAAUCGGGGCAGGGUGAGUCGACCCCUAAGGCGAGGCCGAAAGGCGUAGUCGAUGGGAAACGGGUUAAUAUUCCCGUACUUGGUGUUACUGCGAAGGGGGGACGGAGAAGGCUAUGUUGGCCGGGCGACGGUUGUCCCGGUUUAAGCGUGUAGGUGUGUGUUCCAGGUAAAUCCGGUUCACUUUAACACUGAGGCGUGAUGACGAGGCACUACGGUGCUGAAGCAACAAAUGCCCUGCUUCCAGGAAAAGCCUCUAAGCAUCAGGUAACAUCAAAUCGUACCCCAAACCGACACAGGUGGUCAGGUAGAGAAUACCAAGGCGCUUGAGAGAACUCGGGUGAAGGAACUAGGCAAAAUGGUGCCGUAACUUCGGGAGAAGGCACGCUGACACGUAGGUGAAGUGAUUUACUCAUGGAGCUGAAGUCAGUCGAAGAUACCAGCUGGCUGCAACUGUUUAUUAAAAACACAGCACUGUGCAAACACGAAAGUGGACGUAUACGGUGUGACGCCUGCCCGGUGCCGGAAGGUUAAUUGAUGGGGUCAGCGCAAGCGAAGCUCCUGAUCGAAGCCCCGGUAAACGGCGGCCGUAACUAUAACGGUCCUAAGGUAGCGAAAUUCCUUGUCGGGUAAGUUCCGACCUGCACGAAUGGCGUAAUGAUGGCCAGGCUGUCUCCACCCGAGACUCAGUGAAAUUGAACUCGCUGUGAAGAUGCAGUGUACCCGCGGCAAGACGGAAAGACCCCGUGAACCUUUACUAUAGCUUGACACUGAACAUUGAGCCUUGAUGUGUAGGAUAGGUGGGAGGCUUUGAAGCGUGGACGCCAGUCUGCGUGGAGCCGACCUUGAAAUACCACCCUUUAAUGUUUGAUGUUCUAACGUGGACCCGUAAUCCGGGUUGCGGACAGUGUCUGGUGGGUAGUUUGACUGGGGCGGUCUCCUCCUAAAGAGUAACGGAGGAGCACGAAGGUUGGCUAAUCCUGGUCGGACAUCAGGAGGUUAGUGCAAUGGCAUAAGCCAGCUUGACUGCGAGCGUGACGGCGCGAGCAGGUGCGAAAGCAGGUCAUAGUGAUCCGGUGGUUCUGAAUGGAAGGGCCAUCGCUCAACGGAUAAAAGGUACUCCGGGGAUAACAGGCUGAUACCGCCCAAGAGUUCAUAUCGACGGCGGUGUUUGGCACCUCGAUGUCGGCUCAUCACAUCCUGGGGCUGAAGUAGGUCCCAAGGGUAUGGCUGUUCGCCAUUUAAAGUGGUACGCGAGCUGGGUUUAGAACGUCGUGAGACAGUUCGGUCCCUAUCUGCCGUGGGCGCUGGAGAACUGAGGGGGGCUGCUCCUAGUACGAGAGGACCGGAGUGGACGCAUCACUGGUGUUCGGGUUGUCAUGCCAAUGGCACUGCCCGGUAGCUAAAUGCGGAAGAGAUAAGUGCUGAAAGCAUCUAAGCACGAAACUUGCCCCGAGAUGAGUUCUCCCUGAGACUUAGAGUCUCCUGAAGGAACGUUGAAGACGACGACGUUGAUAGGCCGGGUGUGUAAGCGCAGCGAUGCGUUGAGCUAACCGGUACUAAUGAACCGUGAGGCUUAACCUUACA